RNAcentral lists this transfer RNA (85 nucleotides) under Actinomycetospora corticicola. Its description in RNAcentral is "tRNA-Arg". Lineage: Bacteria; Bacillati; Actinomycetota; Actinomycetes; Pseudonocardiales; Pseudonocardiaceae. The record is from RNAcentral.
GGGCCCGGACCGGCGCGGACUUUCCCGGACGGGGUCUCGGCGCCUACGGAUCAGAAGGUUAGGGGUUCGAAUCCCUUCGGGCGCG